UGCCAUUGAGAAGGAAUUGCUGGAGAGA
This 28-nucleotide non-coding RNA is filed under the name Rattus norvegicus (Norway rat). The record is from RNAcentral. Lineage: Eukaryota; Metazoa; Chordata; Mammalia; Rodentia; Muridae.